UUGGUUCUCGCAUCGAUGAAGAACGCAGCAAAGCGCGAUAGGUAAUGCGAAUUGCAGACGUGAGUCAUUGAAUCUUUGAACGCACAUUGCGCCAGUUUACUGGCAUACUGCGUUGAGCGUCGGCCUUCCUCCACAGGUGUUGCUGCUUGCAGCAGUCAAAGGCAUGGACACGCACCCGUUAGCAACCGGUGCCAACCACACACUUCGACCUCAGCGUAGUAAGACUACCCGCUGAACUUAAGCAUAUCAAUAAGCGGAGGAAAAGAAACCAACAGGGAUUGCCCUAGUAAUGGCGAAUGAACAGGCAAAAGCUCAGAUUUGAAACCCUCGGGAUUGUAAUCUGGAGGCCUGGAUUUGGCGCGCUGACCAAGUCUCCUGGAACGGAGCGCCAUGGAGGGUGACAGCCCCGUAGCAGCAGCCAGUGCAAAUCCGGGCCCACGAGUCGAGUUGUUUGGGAAUGCAGCUCUAAGUGGGUGGUAUGCUCCAUCUAAAGCUAAAUAUUGGCGAGAGACCGAUAGCGAACAAGUACUGUGAAGGAAAGAUGAAAAGAACUUUGAAAAGAGAGUGAAAAAGUACGUGAAAUUGUUGAAAUGGAAGGCAAUGAGGUGCGAUUGCGCCGGGCGUUUGGGGGCAGGACAAAAGCGCAGGCCGCUUCGGCACUGCCUGCGUGCAUGCUGCCUCCCGGACCACCGGGGCUAACAACGCCUUACUGCACCCGUCUUGAAACACGGACCAAGGAGUCUAUUGCCUAUGCGAGUGUUUGGGUGGCAAAC
Molecule: ribosomal RNA, 773 nt
Filed under: Entelexis vaccinii
Lineage: Eukaryota; Fungi; Ascomycota; Dipodascomycetes; Dipodascales; Trichomonascaceae
Description: eukaryotic LSU rRNA
Rfam family: Eukaryotic large subunit ribosomal RNA (bases 206-773)
Source: RNAcentral